AAAUGGAUAACUCAUAAAUCCCUAGGGGAUAAGGAUCACCAAGGUUUAGAAAGCCAGCAAAAACGACGACGUUUAAGUAGAGGACAGAGGAGAAGGAACGUUUCUUUGCGUCAGCGUGUUGCCGUGUCGGUCUGGCGUAGAGUUGCCGCGGCAAAAUAAUGCGUUUUCCCUCGCGGCCUUGCGCUUGCAUUGCGUCGCGUCGCUUUGCGGCAGAAUUUUAAAAAAAGAAAAAACGAAACAGAACAGGAGAAGAGAGAGGCUUUUUGCCGCUUUUGCGUUUGGGUUUGGGGGGUUUUUAAAAGGUUUUUCCUCAAGGCACAAACGAAACUGUUCUUCCCUUCCAAACACACCCUCUCUCUCUCUCCACCUCCGUUAAUCACUCCGUUUACGACGUCGUUUUCCCUCUCCUUCCCUGCCCCGUUCUUUCUCUUCAAUUUCGUUUCUUGUUCUCUUUCUUCUCUCUCCCCUGCAAUUUUGUCUUCAUUGUUCAAUUUCAUGGCUCAUCUUAAAGUCUGUUCGCCGCGGCCAAACGGUGACGUUUUUCGUGAAGAUCGACCCUGCCCUUCGCCGCCAUCCCCGUCAUUGCCGACCUCCAAUCCCGAUCCCUCCGCCGUCAGCCCUGACUCUUGGGCCAGAGGCGAGGACGCAACCCGCGACAUAGUCUCAAAGAUUCAGCCCACUCUGGUGACCCACCAGGCGAGGAAGGAGGUUAUUCAAUAUGUACAGAGCCUCAUCACAUCUAACGUUGGAUGUCAGGUUUUUCCGUAUGGGUCAGUUCCAUUAAAAACAUAUCUUCCUGAUGGAGAUAUUGAUUUGACGGCAUUCAGCAGUGCAAACAUUGAGGAAAGCUUUGUAACCGAUGUUCAUGCUAUCCUGAAGGGAGAGGAGAAUAAUGAAGCUGCUCAGUGUCUUGUGAAGGAUGUCCAUUGCAUUGAUGCCGAGGUUAAGCUUGUGAAAUGCAUUGUACAAAAUAUAGUAGUAGAUAUAUCCUUCAACCAGUUAGGAGGACUUUGUACACUGCGCUUUCUUGAACAGGUCGAUCACUAUAUUGGCAAAGAUCAUCUUUUCAAACGCAGCAUUAUUCUGAUAAAAGCCUGGUGCUACUAUGAGAGUCGUAUUCUUGGUGCUCAUCAUGGGUUGAUUUCAACAUAUGCUUUGGAAACAUUAAUCCUAUAUAUUUUCCAUAUUUUUCAUUCUUCUCUAGAUGGCCCUUUAACGGUCCUUUAUAGAUUUUUGGAUUACUUCAGCAAAUUUGAUUGGGAGAACUACUGUAUAAGUUUAAAUGGACCAGUAUGCAAAUCGUCCCUGCCUGAUAUAGUGGCUGAGGUUCCCAAAAAUGGGGGAGAUGAUCUACUGCUGAGUGAAGAAUUUAUUAGAAAUUGUGUGGAAAUGUUCUCUGUUCCAUCAAAGUUGUGUGAGACAAACUUGCGAUCUUUUCCCCUGAAGCAUCUUAAUAUAAUUGAUCCACUAAAAGAGAAUAACAACCUUGGGCGUAGUGUCAAUAGAGGUAGCUUCUAUCGGAUAUGCAGUGCUUUUAAAUUUGGAGCUCGCAAGCUUGGUUGGAUUCUUUCGUUACCAGGAGAAAGAAUAGCAGAUGAGCUGAACAAGUUUUUUGCAAACACUUUAGAUAGGCAUGGAAGCAACUGUCAGACUAAUGAUAAAAAUGAUGCCUUAUCUGGAGGUCUUGAAUCUCUGAACAUUUUGUUGGAGCUUGGUGGAGAUUUUGACAAUCACUGCUUGAACCUGCAAUAUGGUCCCUAUUUCCCUGGGUCUGCUACAUCACCUCCUUUAUUGCCAAGUCCUCCAUUGUCCCCUCAGCCAUGGAAAGAGAAUCCAUGGGGAGUUACCACUGAAGCCGUUCAGUUCCACCAGAAUAUUAAUUCUCAAACUAACAUAAAUGGCGUUGCUUGGGGAGCACAUGUGUACCAUGCAAAUGAUUCCACUUUAUCUGUUGCUGCUUUCAGAGGAGAGAAGAAGAAACCACGAGGGACAGGGACGUACAUCCCCAAUGCGGUAGUGGCUUUUCUGGUUCCUAUAGAAUCAAUUUUUGGGGCUGCAAUCCUUCUUUUCAGAGUUAUCGUCCCUAUAAGGAUAGGUUCUUGCCUGGAAGGGGAAGGAAACAGGCACCGGGAACGUGUUUUCCAUUGCAGAGACACGCUUUUAGUUAUGGCUUUGCUGCAGCCCCUCAAGAGUCAAUCUCACCGAGAGAAUACAACCGCCAGCUCUCAGAAGCAGAGUACCCAGUUUUAGGUCGUGGGAACUCUGCAAAGACAGAUUACCAUCCACAUCACCUUUCAAUCUGGGAGUCUUUCCAUGACAUUGGUUUGUCCAACUUGCCAGAGAAAUCUGAGUGUAGAUCCUUGUCCCCUCCAUCAUGGGAAUCACACAUUCCAGAAGUGGACAGUCAAUCAGAGUUAUUCAGAGCCAAUGAGGAGAGGAUUGAAGAGCAGUCAUACCAUCUGAAAAAUGAUGACGAUUUUCCCCCCCUCACCCCUCAAGUGCCUUUGAAGGAAGGAUUAUGCGUUGGAGAAUGAAGACACUUAUACUUGUAGAUGCUAACACACUAGACUGAGCUUCUGAUGAGACAUCUUCCCGACUUCAACUCUUCUUGGGGUCCUGCGUUGUUUGUUGGUUUGAUGUAGUAUACAUAUGUUGUACAUUCUGGUUCGCUUUUCAUUUUCCGAAUCGACACGCACAUUUGUGUGCUUUGAUUGGGUUGGGUGGAUGAUGUAUAUAUGGGGUGAAGUUUGCCCCUCAUUUCGCAUUCCCUCCCAAAGUUUGGAGAGUUAUAAACACAGUACUGAGAAGCCUCUGUUAGGUAUAUUUUCGGUUAGAUACUGGUUAGUGUACACAUGAUGAAAUCUAUAGAUGUAACAAUGAAAAUUUUGUUUAUGUUA
Molecule: non-coding RNA, 2897 nt
Organism: Prunus avium (sweet cherry)
Lineage: Eukaryota; Viridiplantae; Streptophyta; Magnoliopsida; Rosales; Rosaceae
Source: RefSeq, a predicted model, not a curated record